RNAcentral lists this unclassified non-coding RNA (217 nucleotides) under Hevea brasiliensis (rubber tree). The record is from RNAcentral. Lineage: Eukaryota; Viridiplantae; Streptophyta; Magnoliopsida; Malpighiales; Euphorbiaceae.
GUUUUUCUUGUUCACGACCUUCAUCCCCAUUCUGAUCCACCAAAUUCAAACUUGCAAGUUUCUCUCCCAUGGAUGGCUCAUUUAAAUCAUCAUUAAAUAGAACAUUAGAAGCAUCUCCGUUGCCCACGUCACUAAUGUCCCCAGCUGUCAGACUAUCAAGAUCAGAUGCUGCUCUUUUCUUUUUGCUUUUCUUACUUUUAGGGCUAACCACUGCUUG